CAUUGGNUCAACCAAUGUAUGCUUUGGAAACUGUUAGACUUGAGUGCAGAAGGGGAGAGUGGAAUUCCAUGUGUAGCGGUGAAAUGCGUAGAUAUAUGGAGGAACACCGGUGGCGAAAGCGGCUCUCUGGUCUGUCACUGACGCUGAGGCUCGAAAGCGUGGGUAGCGAACAGGAUUAGAUACCCUGGUAGUCCACGCCGUAAACGCUGAGUGCUAGGUGUUAGGUCCUUUCCGGGACUUAGUGCCGACGCUAACGCAUUAAGCACUCCGUCUGGGGAGUACGACCGCAAGGUUGAAACUCAAAGGAAUUGACGGGGGCCCGCACAAGCGGUGGAGCAUGUGGUUUAAUUCGAAGCAACGCGAAGAACCUUACCAGGUCUUGACAUCCCGAUGCCCGCUCUAGAGAUAGAGUUUUUCUUCGGAACAUCGGAGACAGGUGGUGCAUGGUUGUCGUCAGCUCGUGUCGUGAGAUGUUGGGUUAAGUCCCGCAACGAGCGCAACCCUUAUUGUUAGUUGCCAUCAUUAAGUUGGGCACUCUAGCGAGACUGCCGGUAAUAAACCGGAGGAAGGUGGGGAUGACGUCAAAUCAUCAUGCCCCUUAUGACCUGGGCUACACACGUGCUACAAUGGUUGGUACAACGAGUCGCAAGCCGGUGACGGCAAGCUAAUCUCUGAAAGCCAAUCUCAGUUCGGAUUGUAGGCUGCAACUCGCCUACAUGAAGUCGGAAUCGCUAGUAAUCGCGGAUCAGCACGCCGCGGUGAAUACGUUCCCGGGCCUUGUACACACCGCCCGUCACACCACGAGAGUUUGUAACACCCAAAGUC
Molecule: ribosomal RNA, 825 nt
Filed under: uncultured bacterium
Lineage: Bacteria
Description: bacterial SSU rRNA
Rfam family: Bacterial small subunit ribosomal RNA
Source: RNAcentral